Molecule: ribosomal RNA, 2902 nt
Filed under: Klebsiella pneumoniae
Lineage: Bacteria; Pseudomonadati; Pseudomonadota; Gammaproteobacteria; Enterobacterales; Enterobacteriaceae
Description: 23S ribosomal RNA
Rfam family: Bacterial large subunit ribosomal RNA
Source: RNAcentral
GGUUAAGCGACUAAGCGUACACGGUGGAUGCCCUGGCAGUCAGAGGCGAUGAAGGACGUGCUAAUCUGCGAAAAGCGUCGGUAAGGUGAUAUGAACCGUUAUAACCGGCGAUGUCCGAAUGGGGAAACCCAGUGCAAUUCGUUGCACUAUCGUUAACUGAAUACAUAGGUUAACGAGGCGAACCGGGGGAACUGAAACAUCUAAGUACCCCGAGGAAAAGAAAUCAACCGAGAUUCCCCCAGUAGCGGCGAGCGAACGGGGAGCAGCCCAGAGUCUGAAUCAGCUUGUGUGUUAGUGGAACGGUCUGGAAAGUCCGACGGUACAGGGUGAUAGUCCCGUACACCAAAAUGCACAGGCUGUGAACUCGAAGAGUAGGGCGGGACACGUGGUAUCCUGUCUGAAUAUGGGGGGACCAUCCUCCAAGGCUAAAUACUCCUGACUGACCGAUAGUGAACCAGUACCGUGAGGGAAAGGCGAAAAGAACCCCGGCGAGGGGAGUGAAAAAGAACCUGAAACCGUGUACGUACAAGCAGUGGGAGCACCUUCGGGUGUGACUGCGUACCUUUUGUAUAAUGGGUCAGCGACUUAUAUUCUGUAGCAAGGUUAACCGUAUAGGGGAGCCGCAGGGAAACCGAGUCUUAACUGGGCGUUAAGUUGCAGGGUAUAGACCCGAAACCCGGUGAUCUAGCCAUGGGCAGGUUGAAGGUUGGGUAACACUAACUGGAGGACCGAACCGACUAAUGUUGAAAAAUUAGCGGAUGACUUGUGGCUGGGGGUGAAAGGCCAAUCAAACCGGGAGAUAGCUGGUUCUCCCCGAAAGCUAUUUAGGUAGCGCCUCGUGAACUCAUCUUCGGGGGUAGAGCACUGUUUCGGCUAGGGGGUCAUCCCGACUUACCAACCCGAUGCAAACUACGAAUACCGAAGAAUGUUAUCACGGGAGACACACGGCGGGUGCUAACGUCCGUCGUGAAGAGGGAAACAACCCAGACCGCCAGCUAAGGUCCCAAAGUCAUGGUUAAGUGGGAAACGAUGUGGGAAGGCACAGACAGCCAGGAUGUUGGCUUAGAAGCAGCCAUCAUUUAAAGAAAGCGUAAUAGCUCACUGGUCGAGUCGGCCUGCGCGGAAGAUGUAACGGGGCUAAACCAUGCACCGAAGCUGCGGCAGCGACACUAUGUGUUGUUGGGUAGGGGAGCGUUCUGUAAGCCUGUGAAGGUGACCUGUGAGGGUUGCUGGAGGUAUCAGAAGUGCGAAUGCUGACAUAAGUAACGAUAAAGCGGGUGAAAAGCCCGCUCGCCGGAAGACCAAGGGUUCCUGUCCAACGUUAAUCGGGGCAGGGUGAGUCGACCCCUAAGGCGAGGCCGAAAGGCGUAGUCGAUGGGAAACAGGUUAAUAUUCCUGUACUUGGUGUUACUGCGAAGGGGGGACGGAGAAGGCUAUGUUAGCCGGGCGACGGUUGUCCCGGUUUAAGCAUGUAGGCUGAUUGUCCAGGCAAAUCCGGAUAAUCAAGGCUGAGGUGUGAUGACGAGGCACUACGGUGCUGAAGUAACAAAUGCCCUGCUUCCAGGAAAAGCCUCUAAGCAUCAGGUAACAUCAAAUCGUACCCCAAACCGACACAGGUGGUCAGGUAGAGAAUACCAAGGCGCUUGAGAGAACUCGGGUGAAGGAACUAGGCAAAAUGGUGCCGUAACUUCGGGAGAAGGCACGCUGGUGUGUAGGUGAAGCCCCUGCGGGUGGAGCUGAGACCAGUCGAAGAUACCAGCUGGCUGCAACUGUUUAUUAAAAACACAGCACUGUGCAAACACGAAAGUGGACGUAUACGGUGUGACGCCUGCCCGGUGCCGGAAGGUUAAUUGAUGGGGUUAUCCGUAAGGAGAAGCUCUUGAUCGAAGCCCCGGUAAACGGCGGCCGUAACUAUAACGGUCCUAAGGUAGCGAAAUUCCUUGUCGGGUAAGUUCCGACCUGCACGAAUGGCGUAAUGAUGGCCAGGCUGUCUCCACCCGAGACUCAGUGAAAUUGAACUCGCUGUGAAGAUGCAGUGUACCCGCGGCAAGACGGAAAGACCCCGUGAACCUUUACUAUAGCUUGACACUGAACAUUGAGCCUUGAUGUGUAGGAUAGGUGGGAGGCUUUGAAGCGUGGACGCCAGUCUGCGUGGAGCCAACCUUGAAAUACCACCCUUUAAUGUUUGAUGUUCUAACGUUGGCCCCUUACCGGGGUUGCGGACAGUGUCUGGUGGGUAGUUUGACUGGGGCGGUCUCCUCCCAAAGCGUAACGGAGGAGCACGAAGGUUAGCUAAUCCUGGUCGGACAUCAGGAGGUUAGUGCAAUGGCAUAAGCUAGCUUGACUGCGAGCGUGACGGCGCGAGCAGGUGCGAAAGCAGGUCAUAGUGAUCCGGUGGUUCUGAAUGGAAGGGCCAUCGCUCAACGGAUAAAAGGUACUCCGGGGAUAACAGGCUGAUACCGCCCAAGAGUUCAUAUCGACGGCGGUGUUUGGCACCUCGAUGUCGGCUCAUCACAUCCUGGGGCUGAAGUAGGUCCCAAGGGUAUGGCUGUUCGCCAUUUAAAGUGGUACGCGAGCUGGGUUUAGAACGUCGUGAGACAGUUCGGUCCCUAUCUGCCGUGGGCGCUGGAGAAUUGAGGGGGGCUGCUCCUAGUACGAGAGGACCGGAGUGGACGCAUCACUGGUGUUCGGGUUGUCAUGCCAAUGGCACUGCCCGGUAGCUAAAUGCGGAAGAGAUAAGUGCUGAAAGCAUCUAAGCACGAAACUUGCCCCGAGAUGAGUUCUCCCUGAGACUUUAAGUCUCCUGAAGGAACGUUAAAGACGAUGACGUUGAUAGGCCGGGUGUGUAAGCGCAGCGAUGCGUUGAGCUAACCGGUACUAAUGAACCGUGAGGCUUAACCUU